This 377-nucleotide ribosomal RNA is filed under the name uncultured Megasphaera sp. RNAcentral's name for it is "bacterial SSU rRNA". It matches the Rfam family "Bacterial small subunit ribosomal RNA", at positions 172 to 525 of the family's 1533-position model. The record is from RNAcentral. Lineage: Bacteria; Bacillati; Bacillota; Negativicutes; Veillonellales; Veillonellaceae.
UACGAUCUUUUUCGUCGCAUGACGAAAAGAAGAAAAAGGAUGGCCUCUAUACAAAGCUAUCGCCGAAGGAGGGGUUUGCGUCUGAUUAGCUGGUUGGAGGGUAACGGCCCAACAAGGCGAUGAUCAGUAGCCGGUCUGAGAGGAUGAACGGCCACAUUGGGACUGAGACACGGCCCAGACUCCUACGGGAGGCAGCAGUGGGGAAUCUUCCGCAAUGGACGAAAGUCUGACGGAGCAACGCCGCGUGAGUGAAGAAGGUCUUCGGAUUGUAAAACUCUGUUAUACGGGACGAAAAAGACGGAUGCCAACAGUAUCCGUCCGUGACGGUACCGUAAGAGAAAGCCACGGCUAACUACGUGCCAGCAGCCGCGGUAAAU